AAUCAACGCUGGCGGCGUGCCUAACACAUGCAAGUCGAACGGGAAAGUGGAGCAAUCCAUGAGUAUAGUGGCGACCGGGUGAGUAACACGUGACUAACCUACCUUCAAGUGGGGGAUAACCUCGGGAAACCGGGGCUAAUACCGCAUAAUAUCUCUGUUAUGAGAAAGCAGGGAUCAAAGGAGCAAUUCGCUGGAAGAGGGGGUCGCGGCUGAUUAGCUAGUUGGUGGGGUAAUGGCCCACCAAGGCUUUGAUCGGUAGCCGGCCUGAGAGGGCGCACGGCCACACUGGAACUGAAACACGGUCCAGACUCCUACGGGAGGCAGCAGUGGGGAAUUUGCGCAAUGGGGGAAACCCUGACGCAGCAACGCCGCGUGGAGGAUGAAGUCCCUUGGGACGUAAACUCCUUUCGACCGGGAAGAUUAUGACGGUACCGGUGGAAGAAGCCCCGGCUAACUUCGUGCCAGCAGCCGCAGUAAG
This 478-nucleotide ribosomal RNA is filed under the name uncultured bacterium. RNAcentral's name for it is "bacterial SSU rRNA". It matches the Rfam family "Bacterial small subunit ribosomal RNA", at positions 32 to 524 of the family's 1533-position model. The record is from RNAcentral.